UACGUAGGGGGCAAGCGUUGUCCGGAAUCAUUGGGCGUAAAGCGCGUGUAGGCGGCUCGAUAAGUCCGUUCUGAAAGUCCAGGGCUCAACCCUGGGAUGCGGAUGGAUACUGUCGAGCUCGAGCCCGGAAGAGGCGAGUGGAAUUCCUGGUGUAGCGGUGAAAUGCGCAGAUAUCAGGAGGAACACCAAUGGCGAAGGCAGCUCGCUGGGACGUGACUGACGCUGAGACGCGAAAGCGUGGGGAGCAAACAGG
This 253-nucleotide ribosomal RNA is filed under the name uncultured bacterium. Its description in RNAcentral is "partial 16S ribosomal RNA". It matches the Rfam family "Bacterial small subunit ribosomal RNA", at positions 524 to 776 of the family's 1533-position model. The record is from RNAcentral.